CCUACGGGAGGCAGCAGUCGAGAAUCAUUCACAAUGGGGGAAACCCUGAUGGUGCGACGCCGCGUGGGGGAAUGAAGGUCUUCGGAUUGUAAACCCCUGUCAUGUGGGAGCAAAUUAAAAAGAUAGUACCACAAGAGGAAGAGACGGCUAACUCUGUGCCAGCAGCCGCGGUAAUACAGAGGUCUCAAGCGUUGUUCGGAAUCACUGGGCGUAAGGCGUGCGUAGGCUGUUUCGUAAGUCGUGUGUGAAAGGCGCGGGCUCAACCCGCGGACGGCACAUGAUACUGCGAGACUAGAGUAAUGGAGGGGGAACCGGAAUUCUCGGUGUAGCAGUGAAAUGCGUAGAUAUCGAGAGGAACACUCGUGGCGAAGGCGGGUUCCUGGACAUUAACUGACGCUGGGGCACGAAGGCCAGGGGAGCGAAAGGGAUUAGAUACCCCAGUAGUC
RNAcentral lists this ribosomal RNA (446 nucleotides) under uncultured bacterium. RNAcentral's name for it is "partial 16S ribosomal RNA". It matches the Rfam family "Bacterial small subunit ribosomal RNA", at positions 338 to 795 of the family's 1533-position model. The record is from RNAcentral.